This 653-nucleotide ribosomal RNA is filed under the name Sarocladium spinificis. RNAcentral's name for it is "partial large subunit ribosomal RNA". It matches the Rfam family "Eukaryotic large subunit ribosomal RNA", at positions 83 to 765 of the family's 3401-position model. Lineage: Eukaryota; Fungi; Ascomycota; Sordariomycetes; Hypocreales; Sarocladiaceae. The record is from RNAcentral.
GUAACGGCGAGUGAAGCGGCAACAGCUCAAAUUUGAAAUCUGGCCGCAAGGUCCGAGUUGUAAUUUGCAGAGGAUGCUUUUGGCGAGGUGCCUUCCGAGUUCCCUGGAACGGGACGCCAUAGAGGGUGAGAGCCCCGUACGGUAGGACCACCGAGCCUUUGUAAAGCUCCUUCGACGAGUCGAGUAGUUUGGGAAUGCUGCUCUAAAUGGGAGGUGUACGUCUUCUAAAGCUAAAUACCGGCCAGAGACCGAUAGCGCACAAGUAGAGUGAUCGAAAGAUGAAAAGCACUUUGAAAAGAGGGUUAAAAAGUACGUGAAAUUGUUGAAAGGGAAGCAUUCAUGACCAGACUUGGGCUUGGUUGAACAUCCGGCGUUCUCGCCGGUGCACUCUGCCAGUCCAGGCCAGCAUCAGUUUGCCCCGGGGGACAAAGGCGGUGGGAAUGUGGCUCUCUCCGGGGAGUGUUAUAGCCCGCCGUGUAAUGCCCUGGGGCGGACUGAGGAACGCGCUUCGGCUCGGAUGCUGGCGUAAUGGUCAUCAAUGACCCGUCUUGAAACACGGACCAAGGAGUCGUCUUCGUAUGCGAGUGUUCGGGUGUCAAACCCCUACGCGAAAUGAAAGUGAACGUAGGUGAGAGCUUCGGCGCAUCACCGAC